UGAAUACGAGGCACUAAGGUGCUGAAGUAGUGUAUGUCAUACUUCCAAGAAAAGCUUGCACUAUCGUAAGAUAAAAAUGCCUGUACCAUAACCGACACAGGUGGGUAGGUAGAGUAUACUAAGGGGCGCGAGAUAACUCUCUCUAAGGAACUCGGCAAAAUAACUCCGUAACUUCGGGAGAAGGAGUGCCUUAUUCUAUAAGGUUGCAAUAACAAGAUCCAAGCAACUGUUUAUCAAAAACACAGGUCUCCGCUAAGUCGUAAGACGAUGUAUGGGGGCUGACGCCUGCCCAGUGCCAGAAGGUUAAAGAAGUCGGUUAGCAAUUGCGAAGCUGGUAACUGAAGCCCUGGUGAACGGCGGCCGUAACAAUAACGGUCCUAAGGUAGCGAAAUUCCUUGUCGGGUAAGUUCCGACCCGCACGAAAGGCGUAAUGAUUUGGAUACUGUCUCGGAGAGGGACUCGGUGAAAUAGACUUGUCUGUGAAGAUGCGGACUACCUGCACCAGGACAGAAAGACCCUAUGAAGCUUUACUGUAACUUGAAAUUGAAAUUGGACUUUAUUCGCGCAGUAUAGGUGGGAGGCGUUGAUUAUAAUCUUGUGGGAUUAUUGGAGCCAUUAGUGAGAUACCACUCUUGUAAUGUUAGAUUUCUAACUUUGAAUCAUGAUCUGGUCAAAGAACAGUUUCAGGCGGGCAGUUUGACUGGGGCGGUCGCCUCCUAAAUGGUAACGGAGGCGUACAAAGGUUUCCUCUGAACGGGUAGAAAUCGUAUCUAGAGUGUAAAGGCAUAAGGAAGCUUGACUGUGAGACCUACAAGUCGAGCAGGGACGAAAGUCGUCUUAGUGAUCUGACGGUACUGAGUGGAAAGGCCGUUACUCAACGGAUAAAAGUUACUCUAGGAUAACAGGCUGAUCUCCCCCAAGAGUUCACAUCGACGGGGAGGUUUGGCACCUCGAUGUCGGCUCAUCGCAUCCUGGGGCGGUAGUACGUCCCAAGGGUUGGGCUGUUCGCCCAUGAAAGCGGUACGCGAGCUGGGUUCAGAACGUCGUGAGACAGUUCGGUCCAUAUCCGGUGUAGGCGUUAGAAUAUUGAGAGGAGCCUUCUUUAGUACGAGAGGACCGAGAAGGACAUACCUCUGGUGUACCAGUUAUCGUGCCAACGGUAAACGCUGGGUAGCUAUGUAUGGAGUGGAUAACCGCUGAAAGCAUCUAAGUGGGAAGCCCACCUCAAGAUAAGUAUUCUCAU
This 1243-nucleotide ribosomal RNA is filed under the name metagenome. Its description in RNAcentral is "bacterial LSU rRNA". It matches the Rfam family "Bacterial large subunit ribosomal RNA", at positions 1564 to 2817 of the family's 2925-position model. The record is from RNAcentral.